UUUGCCUAAACUAUUCAAAGAUCACAUAAAUCCCCAUCCCCCGAGCAAUCCCCAAAUUAUUAUCACAAUAAUAAUGUUUGUACAAUACAAAUGAACAAAGAAGAGGCUAUUAAACUAGGAAAGAAGAAAGAAAAUAAAUAAAGGACCCCUUCCAAGUUCCAACGACUCUUCAAUAAUCACGACCUAUCAAACGUAAAGCAACAACAUGGCAAACACAGAGGCAAAUGAAGAUUCUAUGGCAUGAUGUUACACACAACAUGACCAAACAAUGACAUGGUAGUAAGCAUAACACAGAAGAGUCCCUACAAACAUGCUUUCUAUCACGUUAAAGCAUCCAAUGAACAAAUAAGUAAUUAAAUUACAUCGUUCACUCAUGGGUGAGCAGCAAUAAGAAAUAAUAAAAAUAAUAAGGCCAAGCGCUUAUAAGAAUAAUAUGCAGGGUGCUUCUUGUAAGCCUCGAACAAAAAUCAAAGCACUCUUAAAAUAUAUAAUUGUCUUCUGUCUGUUAAGUGAGAAGAGAGGUGAUUUAUACAGUGGAGGGGGUCACAAUGAUAACCAUGAUGAAAGGAAAAAAUAUUUUUUUCCUCAAUCAAAGGGAUUUUCCUUAAAUAUAAGGAUUGCCAGGUAAAAUCAAUCAAACAAACAUAAGGAAAGAAAAAUCAAUCAACAUGUGAAUUAGCCGAAAUACAACAGAAGAGGAAAGAACAAAGAAAAUCAAUUAUUCAAAUUAUAACUAAUAAAAUCAGAGUUUUACCAGAAAAGAGGAAAGAACAAAGAAAAUCAAUUAUUCAAAUUAUUACCAAUAAAAUCAGAGUUUACCAUAAUUAUCAACAAUAGAGUAGUCUCAAUACCAUGAAAAUAUCGAUUAACAAUCAAUCCUUCCUUGAAUUUAUCAAUCAAAAUAAAUAAAACAGCAUAGGCUUACCAUGAAUAAAAGGAUAACAUGGAUAGGGGCAAUCACAAUUAUUUCCAAAAUCAAUAAUUGAACUAAAAUUAGGCAGCAAUCAGUUCAAAUUGCCAUAUAACACCAUCAUAAGUUCAAAAGACAGAAGCACACAACCCAAAAUCAUUGAGGUUCGCAAAAACUCAUUUAGGAUGAAGUAUCCUUAAUUUGUAAUUUUGCACUAGUUUAUUUAACAAUGUAGCACAAGCUUCACAAAUCAGAAAUCAAGUAACGAAAUCAAGGUUAAUUCAAAUCAGUGAAAUUUGGGGCUUUUCAUAUGAACACAUAAUUAAACAAAUUAAAUCAAAAUUCAAAGUCAGAUAUCACAAAUUUAAAUCCAAGGGAUUAAUUAAGGCAAUUUGCACCCAAAGAAAACAAAGUACAUGCAAAUUAAAUCAAAGAAAACAAACAUGCAAUUAAAGGAUUGAGGGAUCAAGCCGUAUAAUAGUUGGGUUCAGACCUCACCGGUUCUCAAUUUCGACGAGAACGUGACCGGUGAGAAAAGGGGAGGCUGAAUUGCAACUGGGGGAUGGGCUGCUACUGGAGGCGGCCACGGCGAUGGCGGAGCGGAUGGACUCGCAUGCGUUGGGGGUGUCGGCUAACUUAGUUGCUUCGUUGGGACGUUUCGCCGGCGAAGCCGGCUGUAGCCGCUGAUUCGCCGGUGCGAUAAAGACGCUGGACGGGGUGGGUGGCCGAAAGGACCGUUGGUUGGUCGCCAUUGUUGUCGUUGCUACAGCGGCUGGCAAUAAGGAGGGUUGUUGGCUAUGGGUUCGCCGGAGAAGAGGGCGAGGCGGCGAAGGAGGAGAGAGGGGAGAGGGAAACCGGCAGUGGACAGCGGCGAAGUCAUCCCUAGCAGUUAUGGAGUUUUGAUAACUUUGGGGUAGAUGA
RNAcentral lists this long non-coding RNA (1831 nucleotides) under Capsicum annuum. Its description in RNAcentral is "long non-coding RNA (CANN_LNC009433)". The record is from RNAcentral. Lineage: Eukaryota; Viridiplantae; Streptophyta; Magnoliopsida; Solanales; Solanaceae.